AUUGAACGCUGGCGGCAGGCCUAACACAUGCAAGUCGAGCGGAUGACGGGAGCUUGCUCCUUGAUUCAGCGGCGGACGGGUGAGUAAUGCCUAGGAAUCUGCCUGGUAGUGGGGGACAACGUUUCGAAAGGAACGCUAAUACCGCAUACGUCCUACGGGAGAAAGCAGGGGACCUUCGGGCCUUGCGCUAUCAGAUGAGCCUAGGUCGGAUUAGCUAGUAGGUGAGGUAAUGGCUCACCUAGGCGACGAUCCGUAACUGGUCUGAGAGGAUGAUAAGUCACCCUGGAACGGAGACCCGGUCCAGACUCCUACGGGAGGCAGCAGUGGGGAAUAUUGGACAAUGGGCGAAAGCCUGAUCCAGCCAUGCCGCGUGUGUGAAGAGGGUCUUCGGAUUGUAAAGCACUUUAAGUUGGGAGGAAGGGUUGUACGUUAAUACCGUGCAAUUUUGACGUUACCGACAGAAUAAGCACCGGCUAACUCUGUGCCAGCCGCCGCCGUAA
RNAcentral lists this ribosomal RNA (500 nucleotides) under uncultured bacterium. RNAcentral's name for it is "partial 16S ribosomal RNA". It matches the Rfam family "Bacterial small subunit ribosomal RNA", at positions 30 to 523 of the family's 1533-position model. The record is from RNAcentral.